Molecule: ribosomal RNA, 301 nt
Filed under: uncultured bacterium
Lineage: Bacteria
Description: partial 16S ribosomal RNA
Rfam family: Bacterial small subunit ribosomal RNA
Source: RNAcentral
CAGUCGCCGCGGUAAUACGGAGGGGGCUAGCGUUGUUCGGAAUUACUGGGCGUAAAGCGCACGUAGGCGGCUUGGUAAGUUAGAGGUGAAAGCCCGGAGCUCAACUCCGGAAUUGCCUUUAAGACUGCCGAGCUAGCAGGUGAGAGAGGUAAGUGGAAUUCCGAGUGUAGAGGUGAAAUUCGUAGAUAUUCGGAAGAACACCAGUGGCGAAGGCGGCUUACUGGCUCAUACUGGACGCUGAGGUGCGAAAGCGUGGGGAGCAAACAGGAUUAGAUACCCGAGUAGUCCCUGUCUCUUAUAC